AAUUCCUGUGCUGCUGCUUCUCGACGUUCGGCUAUCUUCCCGCGGAGGCCACUUCAUUCACGAAGUUCUGAAGCGACGAGGAAAUAGUGAAAGCUUCCACGCCUCUCUUUGCUUCUCAACAGGUCUAAUAGCAUUAUUUACAAUUUUACACUGUUCGUUAGAAUUGAUGCUCUGUACAAUGGAGGCGGUUGGGAAAUGAGAUGAAAACAUUUGAUUAAGGAAAUCUAUUCAAGAAGUACCUUGGAAAUAUUUGUGACAAUAUGUUCCGAAUAUUUGCAGGUGAAGAUUUUCUUGAUGAUUACUGUAGAAUGUCUUGGAACAUUUUCUUUUAGCUUAUGCCAAAGUCGCCAUCCAGGACAAUCAUUUUGCUGUAAUUGAGGGUACGUACAUCUCUGCUUUCUCUUAAAUUAUGAACAUAAUAUGGGGAAGGGUCUAUCUAGUGAAGCUCCUCAUAAUUGAUGCAUGUUAGAUUUGAAAAAUAUAAGUAUUUCGUGUAAGAAUUACGCCCCUAUAUGAUAUUUGUCCAUGCAUAUCCAUUAAAUGGUCAAGAAUAUUUGUUCCUUGAACAGAAAUCCUGUUGGGAAUUCCCUAUAUAAUUUCAUCGAAUUAAUUUCAGAACAAGUGAUGCAUUAAUUUUAAAUUAUUUUCUUGGUAUUUUGCGAAUCAAAUAUGUACCUUAGAUUGAGAUUAAUUGUUGAAUGCCGGAAAACUUUAUUUUGUAACAGAUCUCUAUGCUUGAUAGAACAUUUUAUGAAAUAUUUUCACUUAUUAUUCGAAGUAAAGCUCAUUUGUUGUUGAAAAAUUGUUUUCCUAUAUCCAUAAAUCUCAAUGAAAAAAGUGGUCCACAUAGUAAUUAUUGAAGCCUUAUUAUAGCUACCAAUCAAAAGGUAUUGAAUUCGAAUCUUAUUUAUGUGAUGUGCGUGUGAGUUUACUG
Molecule: long non-coding RNA, 934 nt
Organism: Dendrobium catenatum
Lineage: Eukaryota; Viridiplantae; Streptophyta; Magnoliopsida; Asparagales; Orchidaceae
Exons: 4
Source: RefSeq, a predicted model, not a curated record